Molecule: ribosomal RNA, 253 nt
Filed under: uncultured bacterium
Lineage: Bacteria
Description: partial 16S ribosomal RNA
Rfam family: Bacterial small subunit ribosomal RNA
Source: RNAcentral
GACGUAGGGGCCGAGCGUUGUCCGGAGUUACUGGGCGUAAAGGGCGCGCAGGCGGUUGGUCACAUCGGCGGUGAAAGCCCCCCGCUCAACUGGGGAGGGUCACGCGAUACUGAUCGACUCGAAGGCAGGAGAGGGUAGUGGAAUUCCCGGUGUAGUGGUGAAAUGCGUAGAUAUCGGGAGGAACACCAGUGGCGAAGGCGACUACCUGGCCUGUUCUUGACGCUGAGGCGCGAAAGCUAGGGGAGCAAACGGG